Molecule: long non-coding RNA, 332 nt
Filed under: Monodelphis domestica (gray short-tailed opossum)
Lineage: Eukaryota; Metazoa; Chordata; Mammalia; Didelphimorphia; Didelphidae
Description: lncRNA (ENSMODG00000051149.1)
Source: RNAcentral
CACUUCCCAAUUGAAGGGACUUUCUGAAGAAAAACCUGAGCAGACUUUACCUCAGCUCCUGUUGCCCAUGGGUUGCUUCCACGGCAUCAUGGAGAGACUGUGCAGAUGCAUGAGACCUUUCCCUCUAGUCCCAGACAAGAUAUACAAAUGAGCCAUUGCACAGGGCUAAAGAAAACAAUCCAGGAAGGACUGAUGCACUUCUAAGCCAAUACAAAGGACUUGAAUCUAGUGUGAAGACUCAAGAUUGGCUCCUAACCUGGCUCCUAUAAUCUUGUCCCUUUUCUGUCUUUCAUAGUGUGGUAAACUUUCUGUAGUCCUGGCUACUGACUGGG